CUACUUGGAGUUUGAGUUGAGUUCUGUUUGGGGGAAACGUGCGAAGGAGAAAGUCUAGGGUUUCUACAAGAGCCGCGGCCUCCGCUUGUUUUGCCGAAUUGGUGUCCACAGAUUUGGUGAAGCCAUCCAGAACUCUUCCCAUGGAGUCUCGGCAUAUAUAAGCAAUAGCUCCCCUUUUUGGUUGUGCCGCAUUAGAUCUGGUGACAAACCCACAUAGAGAAAGCUGUACGUUGGAUCUGGGGGACUCAUGGUGAGACUCGUUGGCUGGAGAGGCUGGAAUUUGGGAUUUGUCAGCAAUACGGCUCGGGGCUUCAUCGUGGGUGUGAUUUACGGUGGUUUGGGCUGCUGUUUUGUCAUCCUCAGAGGUAGGGUAGUUUCCUGGUUGGGAGCAGUCUUCUGUCAUAGGGGAUUCCGGUCUCGUUCGGUGCUCACAACUACAGGAUGAGCAUGCCCUGGAAUGGGUUUGUUGGGUCCCCGUUGGUAACUCCGGGCAGCAAAUGCAAGUGAAUUGAUAUUUCUCCAAACCGGCUCAACUGUUGAUUUACUUAAAUUCAGUUCUGGUAUAGUGGAAGGGUUUAGGAAUUCAUCGGGUUGCUGUUGGAAGAGGCCCCCUGGGAGAUCUAAUGGGGAUUUUUCGGUAUUCGCACAGUCCCCAUCUUGAGAAGUUUCAGUCACAAAAGAGGCGUCAAUAUUAAUGAGGAUGGUGCCAGGGUGUGGAGGUUGCCACUUUGGAUUUGAGGAGCCCUGUUUCUGAUUUUUCGCCUGCUUUACAUUCCAAUUUGCAAAAAUGUCAUGUGAUGUUGAAGUGUUGAACAUGGUACUAAUCGGGUUCAGGGAAUUUUGCCGAAAUAUGAAAUGGUUUCUGUCCUUCCAAAUCCACCACAGGAUCAAUGCGAGCUGGGCAAAUGGAAUGGGCAUUCCAGAUCAGAGAAGUCCAUGGACACAGUAACAGGGUGUGCUCUACUGUUUCUGGUUCAAGUUUGCAAAUCGGGCAAGUUAUGGCAGGUUUUCUUUCCAACUCUCCAGUUUCAUGUUGACCUUUGCAAGGAUCCAUGCAAACAUGUCCUUCUUGGUAGCACCCCAAUUCGACGGAACUCCCAAGUACUUGCCUG
Long non-coding RNA from Eucalyptus grandis, 1112 nucleotides. RefSeq lists it as uncharacterized. NCBI's taxonomy places the organism in Eukaryota, Viridiplantae, Streptophyta, Magnoliopsida, Myrtales, Myrtaceae. The transcript has 4 exons. The record is from RefSeq and is a predicted model, not a curated record.